UAGGGAAUCAUCCACAAUGGGCGCAAGCCUGAUGGAGCAACACCGCGUGAGUGAAGAAGGGUUUCGGCUCGUAAAGCUCUGUUGUUAAAGAAGAACACGUAUGAGAGUAACUGUUCAUACGUUGACGGUAUUUAACCAGAAAGUCACGGCUAACUACGUGCCAA
Molecule: ribosomal RNA, 164 nt
Filed under: uncultured bacterium
Lineage: Bacteria
Description: partial 16S rRNA
Rfam family: Bacterial small subunit ribosomal RNA
Source: RNAcentral